Molecule: small nucleolar RNA, 128 nt
Organism: Arvicanthis niloticus (Nile rat)
Lineage: Eukaryota; Metazoa; Chordata; Mammalia; Rodentia; Muridae
Product: small nucleolar RNA SNORA17
Source: RefSeq, a predicted model, not a curated record
CCUGCCCCUAGUGGCCUUGCAGGUGUGGCUGCUGUGUCACAUGGGCGUCAGCAGGCGGCAGGAGAGAGGCUAUGUCUAUGCUCUAUGCUCUGACCCGUGAACAUCUGAAUGAUUAAUAACCUAACAUU